This 746-nucleotide long non-coding RNA is filed under the name Prunus persica (peach). RNAcentral describes it as "long non-coding RNA (PPER_LNC005447)". The record is from RNAcentral. Lineage: Eukaryota; Viridiplantae; Streptophyta; Magnoliopsida; Rosales; Rosaceae.
AUGGAGGCAUGGGCCUCAUUUUUGAUCAACUCAAAAACGUCUUCAAAUGAGAAGCAAACUGAGUUGUGAGAAGGCAAAAGGGUAGAGUGAUCUUCAAGAUUGCGAGAGGGUAUGCAUGUAUCCGAUUACAUACAAGAGGGUUCGAGUUUCGAUUAACUAUUGAGUGGUAAUCUUUGUAGGAGGUAAUUUCUUUAGGCAAAUUCUCCUUGUGAACUAGGCAAGAUUUUGCCAAACUACAUAAACACUAUCCAAAAAAAAAAAAAUAAGUGGUAACCGUCACCAUUAUUUGAUGACAUUUGGUGACAUUUACUGGAGUGAAGUAUAAAAAAGACCUAGAGAUUAGUUCGAGUGGUGAGGAACCGUAUUCGGUUAGAAGUAUGAUAUAUUAUGUAAGAAGCAAAAACAAUGUUGAAGUAUAGAGGCAUUUUGACAUGUUCCAUUAUAACAUGCAUCAUUAACUAUUAUUAAUUAUCAUUAUGUUAUUUUAUUUUUUUGAGAACUUUCUUCCGCAAUGGAGGAAUUCGAUGGGUAGCCACAAGGAAAAAAAAAAAAAAAAAAAAGAAGUCUUUCGCAACAAAAUUUAUCCCGACAAACAGAACUCUUUUCUCGACCCAAGGUGCACUACAUCCAAUACAAUGCUCGAAACCACCAAGUACGAAAACUAUGUCGGCACAUUUUUCGUCGGGAAAGAUAUUUCCCGACAACUUGGUUCUUUCUCGAUAAAUUUAUGUCGAGUAGAUCUUUCC